RNAcentral lists this ribosomal RNA (209 nucleotides) under uncultured Syntrophaceae bacterium. RNAcentral describes it as "partial 16S ribosomal RNA". It matches the Rfam family "Bacterial small subunit ribosomal RNA", at positions 1174 to 1382 of the family's 1533-position model. Lineage: Bacteria; Pseudomonadati; Thermodesulfobacteriota; Syntrophia; Syntrophales; Syntrophaceae. The record is from RNAcentral.
UGGGGAUGACGUCAAGUCCUCAUGGCCUUUAUGCCCAGGGCUACACACGUGCUACAAUGGGCGGUACAAAGAGAAGCAACCUCGCGAGGGUGAGCAAAUCUCAAAAAGCCGUUCUCAGUUCGGAUUGAAGUCUGCAACUCGACUUCAUGAAGUCGGAAUCGCUAGUAAUCGCGGAUCAGCAUGCCGCGGUGAAUACGUUCCCGGGCCUU